UUAAGCAUAUCAAUAAGCGGAGGAAAAGAAACCAACAGGGAUUGCCCCAGUAACGGCGAGUGAAGCGGCAACAGCUCAAAUUUGAAAUCUGGCCUUCGGGUCCGAGUUGUAAUUUGGAGAGGAUGCUUUUGGCGCGGCGCCGUCCGAGUUCCUUGGAACAGGACGCCAUAGAGGGUGAGAGCCCCGUACGGGCGGCCGCCUAGCCUUUGUAAAGCUCCUUCGACGAGUCGAGUAGUUUGGGAAUGCUGCUCAAAAUGGGAGGUAAAUUUCUUCUAAAGCUAAAUACCGGCCAGAGACCGAUAGCGCACAAGUAGAGUGAUCGAAAGAUGAAAAGCACUUUGAAAAGAGGGUUAAAAAGUACGUGAAAUUGUUGAAAGGGAAGCGCCUGUGACCAGACUUGCGACCCGUGGAUCAUCCGGUGUUCUUCACCGGUGCACUCCGCGGGCUGCAGGCCAGCAUCGGUUUUCCUAGGGGGAUAAAGGUCGCAGGAACGUAGCUCUUUCGGGAGUGUUAUAGCCUGUGGCGUCAUGCCUCUGGGGAGACCGAGGACCGCGCUUCGGCAAGGAUGCUGGCGUAAUGGUCACCGGCGACCCGUCUUGAAACACGGACCAAGGAGUCAAGCAUUGGGGCGAGUGUCUGGGUGCCAAACCCGCACGCGAAAUGAAAGUAAACGCAGGUGAGAGCUUCGGCGCAUCACCGACCGAUCCUGAUGUCUUCGGAUGGAUUUGAGUAAGAGCCUUACCGCUUGGACCCGAAAGAUGGUGAACUAUGCCUGUAUAGGGUGAAGCCAGAGGAAACUCUGGUGGAGGCUCGCAGCGGUUCUGACGUGCAAAUCGAUCGUCAAAUAUGGGCAUGGGGGCGAAAGACUAAUCGAACCAUCUAGUAGCUGGUUACCGCCGAAGU
RNAcentral lists this ribosomal RNA (903 nucleotides) under Ophiostoma montium. RNAcentral's name for it is "partial large subunit ribosomal RNA". It matches the Rfam family "Eukaryotic large subunit ribosomal RNA", at positions 34 to 967 of the family's 3401-position model. Lineage: Eukaryota; Fungi; Ascomycota; Sordariomycetes; Ophiostomatales; Ophiostomataceae. The record is from RNAcentral.